This 600-nucleotide unclassified non-coding RNA is filed under the name Fusarium oxysporum. RNAcentral's name for it is "partial miscellaneous RNA". The record is from RNAcentral. Lineage: Eukaryota; Fungi; Ascomycota; Sordariomycetes; Hypocreales; Nectriaceae.
AUUUCCCCAAUGGGUUCUCCGGAUUUCUGGAGACUUGUAGGGGUUUUGUGGGAUUUUUGAUGUGUCGUCUCCGGACGGGCGGUGCAGGGUAGUCGAGUUAGACUUGGUGGAAUUCCGUCGAUAGGAGUUCCGUCGAGUCUGGUCGGCUGUGUGUUGGACGGUGCAGGGUAGGCUGCUUGGAGAUGGUCGGUUCGAGGAUCGAUUCGAGGGCCGGCCUGUCGAUGGUGUGUGAUGUAUGCGGUCUAGGGUAGGCUGGUUUGUCUUGGUUCAAUUUGAUGUCGGCUCCCGUGCAGGCCAGAGUGAGGGGGGUCCAGGGUAGGUACAGGGUAGGCAGCUUAGAUUUGGUUGAUCUGGAGGUCGAUUGUCCGGCUGGCGGAUCUGACACUGUCGAAACGAGAUGCGAGCGGUGUAGGGUAGGCUAGUUUCGUUCUCGCCAGGUUGCGAUUUGGACAAGAUAUGUGGUUUAGGGUAGGCUCUAGGGUAAGUAGAAUUCGAGUUUCGUCGCCGACAGUUUUCUGUGGGUGUAUGGUAGGUACAGGGUAGGCAAAUCUCUCUCCGGCCAGUACUUGUCUGGUGGUCGUGAGUCGAUUUUUUUGUUUU